UACGUAGGGGGCAAGCGUUAUCCGGAUUUACUGGGUGUAAAGGGAGCGUAGACGGCGAUGCGAGCCAGAUGUGAAAGCCCGGGGCUCAACCCCGGGACUGCAUUUGGAACUGUGUGGCUGGAGUGUCGGAGAGGCAAGUGGAAUUCCUAGUGUAGCGGUGAAAUGCGUAGAUAUUAGGAGGAACACCAGUGGCGAAGGCGGCUUGCUGGACGAUGACUGACGUUGAGGCUCGAAAGCGUGGGGAGCAAACAGG
Molecule: ribosomal RNA, 253 nt
Filed under: uncultured bacterium
Lineage: Bacteria
Description: partial 16S ribosomal RNA
Rfam family: Bacterial small subunit ribosomal RNA
Source: RNAcentral